RNAcentral lists this ribosomal RNA (422 nucleotides) under uncultured bacterium. RNAcentral's name for it is "partial 16S ribosomal RNA". It matches the Rfam family "Bacterial small subunit ribosomal RNA", at positions 360 to 774 of the family's 1533-position model. The record is from RNAcentral.
AAUUUUGGACAAUGGGGGCAACCCUGAUCCAGCCAUCCCGCGUGUGCGAUUAAGGCCUUCGGGUUGUAAAGCACUUUUGGCAGGGAAGAAAAGGCGCGGACUAAUACCCAGCGCCGCUGACGGUACCUGCAGAUUAAGCUGCGGACAACUCCGUGCCAGCAUCCGCGGUAAAACGUAGGGUGCAAGCGUUAAUCGGAAUUACUGGGCGUAAAGCGUGCGCAGGCGGUUCGGCAAGAAGGAUGUGAAAUCCCGGGGCUUAACCUCGGAACUGCAUUCUUAACUGCCGGGCUAGAGUAUGUCAGAGGGGGGUAGAAUUCCACGUGUAGCAGUGAAAUGCGUAGAGAUGUGGAGGAAUACCGAUGGCGAAGGCAGCCCCCUGGGAUGAUACUGACGCUCAUGCACGAAAGCGUGGGGAGCAAACA